AACCAUUUUCCAUUGUUUUCUCUUCUCCACUCUCUCUUCCUUUGCUUCAACAAAACCUUAAUUCCUCUCUCUAGCAGCAAAUCGAACUCUCUCCUUAAUUUCUCUCUAUAGCAAUUCGAACUCAAAGGAGAUUACUGAUAUCUGCAGCAAUUUGUUUCUUCUAAAAUCGAAUAGCAGCAGGUAACCCUUCUUUAACUCUCACAUCUUAUAUCAAUUACCUAAUUAAUUAUUCAAAAUGGCAGCAGUAGUAUUCUUAACAGUUCUAUCUCAUUUAGUUGGUUGUGGGAUUUUUUUUUUUUUUUUUUGUAAUGUGGGAAUAACUCAAAGGAGAUUACUGAUAUCUGCAGCAAUUUCGAAUAGAUUGGGUCCAAUUCAAACCAGUUUCGAUUCUUCAAUUUACUUAAAGAUUAAGCAAUUUAACCAGUUUCUUCUAAAAUCGAAUAGCAGCAGGUUCUUCUUCUUCUUCAGUAGCAAUUUUAGGUUCUGCCUUUUGUUUUAAUCUCUGCAAAUUGUUGUUUGAUUGUCCAAUCUCCAAUAUCUCCAAUCUAACUAGCGGCGACAACAGCAGCAGCAGCAGGAGUAGGUUCUUCUUCUUCUUUAGUAGAAUUUAUUUGACUUUCCAUUAGAAGAAGAAUUAAAACACUUCCAAUAUAAUUUUUGUCAGUGUUAUUGUCAUGAUUUAAAACAACAUAUGAAAAAAGUAAAUGGUCUUCAUGCCCAUGCUUUGCAGUGUUAUCCGCUGUAAUUGGGUUACAAAUUUUGGCGUGUAAUCAUAUCGUAGUCACAAAACUCGCAAUCCCCGUAGCUGCAAACCAAACCAUAAAACCAAAACCCAUCGUUAUUGGUUGCAGAGACAAGUAGAGUCUGAAUCUUAUUCUUUUUUUUAUUGGAGGUAACUUAUAGUUAAACCUAUAUUUUGGUAUGCCCCGUAGGUAAUCACAACCCUAUAAACAGAAAGUUGUUUUUUUUCAGAUCAAUCUGUUCAUUACCGAGUAGAAACGAUUUUUGGACUCAAAUAAUUUGAAAACAAAUAGGUCAAAUCAUUUGUGGAUAUUUACAACUUGGCAACAGUAAAAUUUCAAAUCUACGAUAAACUGUUAGAAAAAUAAUAUCGAAUGGGCAUUGCAUCAGCAUGCCGGCUUUCUUUUCUCUCGAAUCUCAGUAACUUAAUUUGUAUUUUUUUCAGUGUUUUCCCUUGGUCAGCAAUCUUGGUCUGAUUUUAGCAUGAAGUUGUUAAUUUACAAAUAAGUUUUCCAAAUUGAUUCAAACAAUCUAUAUUAUAAUCUACAAAGGAUAGAUAAAAUAGACAAGUUGGGUUAUAAGAAGCGGUUAUAUUUAGAGACGUACUGAUCUUUAGAUUUUUUUUACAAAUGACACAUUAUUGAUACAUCCGCCAUUAUCCUAUAUCUUGCUUUUAUAAUUGAUAUAGUGAGUUCAAAUUUUGGGUGGUAUAAUAUCAAAAUCCUAGGAUUUAAAAAUAGUGCAGUAUUAGUACGCCAUAGGUAGUACUACACAUCUCAAGUACUACCAAAAGGUAACAUUCCUACACCAUAUUUAAUGUUGAAUAGUAUCGAUUUUGAUGGAACAUAUAAAUCUACUUUUGUAUCAGUUCUUUUACACGUUUCGAAGAAAAUAUAUGUAAUAGGGAUGAACUGCCAUAUAUCUGCAGGAAUUGUUAUGGAUCUUAUAUUAGUAGGAUCUUAUAUUAGUAGGAAUUGUUAUGGAUCUUAUAUUGUUAUAAUAGUAGAAAUGAAAUACAAUCAGUUUUAUAGAAACAGUUAAGGUUAUUCUAAAUUUGAAUAACCUGUAGGGCAUAUUUUUUUUAACUUUGAAAAUAUAAAUAAAUGUUCUUUCCAUAUCUCUUAAUAGGCGAGAAUUAAUCAUGGUUUUAACUGAUACUCCUUCAUUGAUUUGUUUCACAGGUUUCACUGUUGUUAAAAAGGUUCAAAAUCUGGAAUAAAGCUGUUCAAACCAAGAUACUCUUAUCAAGUUGUUCCAGUCUUCCAGAGUAUCUUCUAUCCAC
RNAcentral lists this long non-coding RNA (2023 nucleotides) under Aquilegia coerulea. RNAcentral describes it as "long non-coding RNA (ACOE_LNC000279)". Lineage: Eukaryota; Viridiplantae; Streptophyta; Magnoliopsida; Ranunculales; Ranunculaceae. The record is from RNAcentral.